GGGUUGUGAGGUUAAGCGACUAAGCGUACACGGUGGAUGCCCUGGCAGUCAGAGGCGAUGAAGGGCGUGCUAAUCUGCGAUAAGCGCCGGUAAGGUGAUAUGAACCGUUAUAACCGGCGAUACCCGAAUGGGGAAACCCAGUGUGACUCGUCACACUAUCAUUAACUGAAUCCAUAGGUUAAUGAGGCGAACCGGGGGAACUGAAACAUCUAAGUACCCCGAGGAAAAGAAAUCAACCGAGAUUCCCCCAGUAGCGGCGAGCGAACGGGGAGGAGCCCAGAGCCUGAAUCAGCAUGUGUGUUAGUGGAAGCGUCUGGAAAGGCGCGCGAUACAGGGUGACAGCCCCGUACACAAAAGCGCAUGUGCUGUGAGCUCGAUGAGUAGGGCGGGACACGUGAUAUCCUGUCUGAAUAUGGGGGGACCAUCCUCCAAGGCUAAAUACUCCUGACUGACCGAUAGUGAACCAGUACCGUGAGGGAAAGGCGAAAAGAACCCCGGCGAGGGGAGUGAAAAAGAACCUGAAACCGUGUACGUACAAGCAGUGGGAGCACCCUUUGGGGUGUGACUGCGUACCUUUUGUAUAAUGGGUCAGCGACUUAUAUUCUGUAGCAAGGUUAACCGUAUAGGGGAGCCGUAGGGAAACCGAGUCUUAACCGGGCGUUAAGUUGCAGGGUAUAGACCCGAAACCCGGUGAUCUAGCCAUGGGCAGGUUGAAGGUUGGGUAACACUAACUGGAGGACCGAACCGACUAAUGUUGAAAAAUUAGCGGAUGACCUGUGGCUGGGGGUGAAAGGCCAAUCAAACCGGGAGAUAGCUGGUUCUCCCCGAAAGCUAUUUAGGUAGCGCCUCGUGAAUUCAUCUCCGGGGGUAGAGCACUGUUUCGGCUAGGGGGCCAUCCCGGCUUACCAACCCGAUGCAAACUGCGAAUACCGGAGAAUGUUAUCACGGGAGACACACGGCGGGUGCUAACGUCCGUCGUGAAGAGGGAAACAACCCAGACCGCCAGCUAAGGUCCCAAAGUCAUGGUUAAGUGGGAAACGAUGUGGGAAGGCCCAGACAGCCAGGAUGUUGGCUUAGAAGCAGCCAUCAUUUAAAGAAAGCGUAAUAGCUCACUGGUCGAGUCGGCCUGCGCGGAAGAUGUAACGGGGCUAAACCAUGCACCGAAGCUGCGGCAGCGA
Molecule: ribosomal RNA, 1178 nt
Filed under: Salmonella enterica
Lineage: Bacteria; Pseudomonadati; Pseudomonadota; Gammaproteobacteria; Enterobacterales; Enterobacteriaceae
Also listed under: 1 other name
Description: bacterial LSU rRNA
Rfam family: Bacterial large subunit ribosomal RNA
Source: RNAcentral